This 373-nucleotide ribosomal RNA is filed under the name uncultured Bacteroidota bacterium. Its description in RNAcentral is "bacterial SSU rRNA". It matches the Rfam family "Bacterial small subunit ribosomal RNA", at positions 521 to 896 of the family's 1533-position model. The record is from RNAcentral. Lineage: Bacteria; Pseudomonadati; Bacteroidota.
UAAUACGGAGGGUGCAAGCGUUGUCCGGAUUUAUUGGGUUUAAAGGGUGCGUAGGUGGCGUGUUAAGUCAGUGGUGAAAUCCUGCAGCUCAACUGUAGAGGUGCCAUUGAUACUGACAUGCUUGAGUAUGGACGAGGUAGGCGGAAUUUGUGGUGUAGCGGUGAAAUGCAUAGAUACCACAAAGAACACCGAUAGCGAAGGCAGCUUACUGGACCAUAACUGACACUGAGGCACGAAAGUGUGGGUAGCGAACAGGAUUAGAUACCCUGGUAGUCCACACCGUAAACGAUGCUCACUCGAUGUAUGCGAUACACUGUAUGCGUCCAAGGGAAACCGUUAAGUGAGCCACCUGGGGAGUACGCUCGCAAGAGUG